CCCGCUCCCGGUAAAACGGGACGGCCCGCCAGAGGACCCCUAAACUCUGUUUCUAUAUGUAACUUCUGAGUAAAACCAUAAAUAAAUCAAAACUUUCAACAACGGAUCUCUUGGUUCUGGCAUCGAUGAAGAACGCAGCAAAAUGCGAUAAGUAAUGUGAAUUGCAGAAUUCAGUGAAUCAUCGAAUCUUUGAACGCACAUUGCGCCCGCCAGUAUUCUGGCGGGCAUGCCUGUUCGAGCGUCAUUUCAACCCUCAAGCACAGCUUGGUGUUGGGACUCGCGUUAAUUCGCGUUCCCCAAAUUGAUUGGCGGUCACGUCGAGCUUCCAUAGCGUAGUAGUAAAACCCUCGUUACUGGUAAUCGUCGCGGCCACGCCGUUAAACCCCAACUUCUGAAUGUUGACCUCGGAUCAGGUAGGAAUACCCGCUGAACUUAAGCAUAUC
Molecule: ribosomal RNA, 443 nt
Filed under: Fusarium oxysporum
Lineage: Eukaryota; Fungi; Ascomycota; Sordariomycetes; Hypocreales; Nectriaceae
Description: eukaryotic LSU rRNA
Rfam family: 5.8S ribosomal RNA (bases 91-244)
Source: RNAcentral